This 158-nucleotide ribosomal RNA is filed under the name Staphylococcus epidermidis. RNAcentral describes it as "partial 23S ribosomal RNA". It matches the Rfam family "Bacterial large subunit ribosomal RNA", at positions 2773 to 2925 of the family's 2925-position model. Lineage: Bacteria; Bacillati; Bacillota; Bacilli; Caryophanales; Staphylococcaceae. The record is from RNAcentral.
GAAAGCAUCUAAGCAUGAAGCCCCCCUCAAGAUGAGAUUUCCCAACUUCGGUUAUAAGAUCCCUCGAAGAUGACGAGGUUAAUAGGUUCGAGGUGGAAGCGUGGUGACACGUGGAGCUGACGAAUACUAAUCGAUCGAAGACUUAAUCAAUUUUUAAA